RNAcentral lists this ribosomal RNA (305 nucleotides) under uncultured bacterium. RNAcentral's name for it is "partial 16S ribosomal RNA". It matches the Rfam family "Bacterial small subunit ribosomal RNA", at positions 505 to 807 of the family's 1533-position model. The record is from RNAcentral.
ACAGCAGCAGCCGCGGGAAUACGGAGGGUGCAAGCGUUAAUCGGAAUUACUGGGCGUAAAGCGUGCGUAGGCGGUUCGUUAAGUCUGUUGUGAAAGCCCCGGGCUCAACCUGGGAAUGGCAAUGGAUACUGGCGAGCUAGAGUGUGUCAGAGGAUGGUGGAAUUCCCGGUGUAGCGGUGAAAUGCGUAGAGAUCGGGAGGAACAUCAGUGGCGAAGGCGGCCAUCUGGGACAACACUGACGCUGAGGCACGAAAGCGUGGGGAGCAAACAGGAUUAGAUACCCCGGUAGUCCCUGUCUCUUAUAC